GAUGAACGCUGGCGGCGUGCCUAAUACAUGCCAGUCGAGCGAACAGACGAGGAGCUUGCUCCUCUGACGUUAGCGGCGGACGGGUGAGUAACGCGUGGAUAACCUACCUAUAAGACUGGGAUAACUUCGAGAAACCGGAGUUAAUACCGGAUAAUAUAUUGAACCGCAUGGUUCAAUAGUGAAAGACGGUUUUGCUGUCACUUAUAGAUGGAUCCGCGCCGCAUUAGCUAGUUGGUAAGGUAACGGCUUACCAAGGCAACGAUGCGUAGCCGACCUGAGAGGGUGAUCGGCCACACUGGAACUGAGACACGGUCCAGACUCCUACGGGAGGCAGCAGUAGGGAAUCUUCCGCAAUGGGCGAAAGCCUGACGGAGCAACGCCGCGUGAGUGAUGAAGGUCUUCGGAUCGUAAAACUCUGUUAUUAGGGAAGAACAAAUGUGUAAGUAACUAUGCACGUCUUGACGGUACCUAAUCAGAAAGCCACGGCUAACUACGUG
RNAcentral lists this ribosomal RNA (497 nucleotides) under uncultured bacterium. RNAcentral describes it as "partial 16S ribosomal RNA". It matches the Rfam family "Bacterial small subunit ribosomal RNA", at positions 28 to 507 of the family's 1533-position model. The record is from RNAcentral.